This 533-nucleotide ribosomal RNA is filed under the name uncultured bacterium. RNAcentral's name for it is "bacterial SSU rRNA". It matches the Rfam family "Bacterial small subunit ribosomal RNA", at positions 28 to 545 of the family's 1533-position model. The record is from RNAcentral.
GACGAACGCUGGCGGCGUGCCUAAUACAUGCAAGUAGAACGCUGAAGGAGGAGCUUGCUUCUCCGGAUGAGUUGCGAACGGGUGAGUAACGCGUAGGUAACCUGCCUGGUAGCGGGGGAUAACUAUUGGAAACGAUAGCUAAUACCGCAUAAUAGCAGUUAUUGCAUGAUAACUGUUUGAAAGGUGCAAUUGCACCACUACCAGAUGGACCUGCGUUGUAUUAGCUAGUUGGUGGGGUAACGGCUCACCAAGGCGACGAUACAUAGCCGACCUGAGAGGGUGAUCGGCCACACUGGGACUGAGACACGGCCCAGACUCCUACGGGAGGCAGCAGUAGGGAAUCUUCGGCAAUGGACGGAAGUCUGACCGAGCAACGCCGCGUGAGUGAAGAAGGUUUUCGGAUCGUAAAGCUCUGUUGUAAGAGAAGAACGAGUGUGAGAGUGGAAAGUUCACACUGUGACGGUAUCUUACCAGAAAGGGACGGCUAACUACGUGCCAGCAGCCGCGGUAAUACGUAGGUCCCGAGCGUUGUC